Cicer arietinum (chickpea) is the source of this 1311-nucleotide non-coding RNA. The record is from RefSeq and is a predicted model, not a curated record. Lineage: Eukaryota; Viridiplantae; Streptophyta; Magnoliopsida; Fabales; Fabaceae.
AUUAUUGAAAAAUAAAAUUACUUUUUUUAGAGUAUAACAAAUGUGCCCUCAAUAUUUUUUUGUUAAUUUAGUAUUAAUAUUUUGUUUUUGUAGGUACUUGAUCUUCUUAAAUUGUCAACGCUCUCAAAUACUCCUUUUAAGUUUAACUGACUUUAUAUGUAUGAAUUAUAAUAAAUUCCUUCAUACUUUGAACGCAAAAAACCAAUCUGACUUUAUGAUCAGAGGUACCAAUUUUUAAGGAUAGACAUGUCUUUGAAAGUACUAGUGAGAACAUAACAAGAGAGAUUUUGUAUGUGUAGCAAAGGAAGAUUUUAUCGACUUUUAAGAAAACAAAUGAAGUUGCAUUUUGAGGAUAAGAAUGUUGGAGUAUUAGUAUGAGUAAUUAAUCUCACAUUAGAUAUAAAGUGAUGAAACUCAUUUACUCAAUAGUAAGUAUCCAAACUCAUAUACUCAAUAGUAAGUAUAGUAAGUAUCCCAAGUCGUCUAGAAACUAGUCUAUCAUCAUGUUCAUGUUCACUAGUCAUUUAUACAAGAAAGGAAGCGUCCAUUAAAGGAAAAUUUUGUGAACUUUGUUUUUACUUUUUCCAACCUUCCCCUUGGAAGGAGUGUUGCACAUGCUUCAAGGAAUAUCUUCUCUAAGCUCCAUUGAUAAUUUAUAUGAAAGCAUGAAGUUGAAUCUAGAGAGAUAUUUAAUGUCUGAAGGACUCCAAGACAAACUAACUAUGCCUCAAUGUUUCCCACAAUUUGAGCUUACCAAUCAAAUAUUACCAAUUAGUGCAACACCCUUACCCGUUUAUCUUUGUCUUUUUUACUGUGGUUUAUCGUAUUCUACCGAUCUUUUUUAAUGUUGUUCGAUUUAAAUUGGUUGAUCAUCGGUCCUCUACUGAAAAAUCAUCAUUUGGAAGAGGACCAUUAAUGUAUAUGGUGACAAAUGACUUGUUUGCGACUCCAAUGUCGUCUGUAUCUACUAUGUCAUAUUUAAAAAAUCAAAAGUUCUUCUAUCUGAAUUGGAGGGAAGAGUCAUCAAAAUUGGUGUGGAGGGUCUCAGCAUUUUUAAAGCAUCUUUGAUCUCAACAUCUGCUUUACAAUAUGGUCUCAAGUAAUUUAUCAGAACCAUCAAGGUGCAGAAAUGAACAAUUAUUUCCCUCUAUAUUAUGGGGAAUAUUCUGAAUGUCAUUUUCUGUCUUCAUCAUGACAAUUGCACUACCAUGCUCAUUAGUACCCUCUUAUCCAUGAAUAGUAGUUAUAUGAGGGAUGAUUGCCUUGUAAUAGUAGACUAAAUUGUUUUGGCAGCCAGUAAUCACUAUUGCA